This 85-nucleotide transfer RNA is filed under the name Felis catus (domestic cat). It matches the Rfam family "tRNA". From Rfam's summary of the family: Transfer RNA (tRNA) molecules are approximately 80 nucleotides in length. Their secondary structure includes four short double-helical elements and three loops (D, anti-codon, and T loops). Further hydrogen bonds mediate the characteristic L-shaped molecular structure. tRNAs have two regions of fundamental functional importance: the anti-codon, which is responsible for specific mRNA codon recognition, and the 3' end, to which the tRNAs corresponding amino acid is attached (by aminoacyl-tRNA synthetases). tRNAs cope with the degeneracy of the genetic code in two manners: having more than one tRNA (with a specific anti-codon) for a particular amino acid; and 'wobble' base-pairing, i.e. permitting non-standard base-pairing at the 3rd anti-codon position. The record is from Rfam by way of RNAcentral. Lineage: Eukaryota; Metazoa; Chordata; Mammalia; Carnivora; Felidae.
ACCUGAGUGGCUCAGUCAGUUAAGCAUCUGACUUUGACUCAGGUCAUGAUCUCGAGGUUUGUGAGUUCAAACCCCACAUUAGGCU